RNAcentral lists this non-coding RNA (850 nucleotides) under Ligia oceanica (common sea slater). The record is from RNAcentral. Lineage: Eukaryota; Metazoa; Arthropoda; Malacostraca; Isopoda; Ligiidae.
AAUAGGUUUAAUCCUGGCCUCAAAGCUUCAUUUACUUGUUCCACAUGAAACUCUUUGGGAGGAAUUAUCGCCGGGCAAAAUAUCUUAACAGUUUAUUCUCAGUGGAGGUUAUUAGGGAUUUAACUAAGUUAGUCCUAGCAGGGUGCCGAUCAAACUGGUGCCAGCAGUCGCGGUUAGACCUAAGGCAGGGAGCUUUAUUCUAACAAGAAAGAAGAAUAUUUAAGAUCACACUUAGAGGUAAAAUUCACACUUAGUUUCUUAGUUCUCUCAAUCAUUCUAAACCUUGGGUCAAAAAAGAGGAUUAGAUACCCUCCUAUUCUGUGGCCUGUUGAAGUAGGGUAGUAACUAGCUAUGUACUUCAAACCCAAAGGAUGUUGGCGGUGAUUUAACAGCCCAGAGGAACCUGCCGCGUAAUCGAUAACCCACGAAAAAUCUUACCUGAACAACGCUCGUAUACCGUCGUCUAGGCGGAGUUAAAAAAUAUCGCCAAGGUAGGAGACUAGGAUGACAGAUCAAGGUGCAGCAUAUUCAGGAGCAGGUGGGUUACAAUCCCUACUAGGGCUGGACCGGAAUUUUAACCCCUCCGUGAAAUAGGAUUUGGCAGUAAUUUUAGUUUAAUAAGCUAAGAUUAAGAUUGUAAUAAAUCACGCACAUAUCGCCCGUCACUCUCAUAGCUGAGAUAAGUCAUAACAAAGUAGAAGUGACCGGAAGGUGCUUCUUUAAUCUGACAAAAAUUAGAAUAAACUAUAGCCCUUAUCCUGUGGAAGAGUGAUACCCUUCUUAAGAACUUUAAAGGUUCUAAGGGUAUAAGGUUAACCAGAUUUUAAUGAGAAUCAAUUUAAUUAAAUAU